AUUGAACGCUAGCGGCAUGCCUUACACAUGCAAGUCGAACGGCAGCGCGGACUUCGGUCUGGCGGCGAGUGGCGAACGGGUGAGUAAUGCAUCGGAACGUGCCCAGUAGCGGGGGAUAACUACGCGAAAGCGUAGCUAAUACCGCAUACGCCCUACGGGGGAAAGGGGGGGAUCGCAAGACCUCUCACUAUUGGAGCGGCCGAUGUCGGAUUAGCUAGUUGGUGGGGUAAAGGCCUACCAAGGCGACGAUCCGUAGCUGGUUUGAGAGGACGACCAGCCACACUGGGACUGAGACACGGCCCAGACUCCUACGGGAGGCAGCAGUGGGGAAUUUUGGACAAUGGGGGCAACCCUGAUCCAGCCAUGCCGCGUGUGCGAAGAAGGCCUUCGGGUUGUAAAGCACUUUUGGCGGGAAAGAAACGGCGCCGGAUAAUACCUGGCGUAACUGACGGUACCCGCAGAAUAAGCACCGGCUAACUACGUGCCAGCAGCCGCGGUAAUACGUAGGGUGCAAGCGUUAAUCGGAAUUACUGGGCGUAAAGCGUGCGCAGGCGGUUCGGAAAGAAAGAUGUGAAAUCCCAGGGCUCAACCUUGGAACUGCAUUUUUAACUCCCGAACUAGAGUAUGUCAGAGGGGGGUGGAAUUCCACGUGUAGCAGUGAAAUGCGUAGAUAUGUGGAGGAACACCGAUGGCGAAGGCAGCCCCCUGGGAUAAUACUGACGCUCAUGCACGAAAGCGUGGGGAGCAAACAGGAUUAGAUACCCUGGUAGUCCACGCCCUAAACGAUGUCAACUAGCUGUUGGGUUCUUCGGAGCUUGGUAGCGCAGCUAACGCGUGAAGUUGACCGCCUGGGGAGUACGGUCGCAAGAUUAAAACUCAAAGGAAUUGACGGGGACCCGCACAAGCGGUGGAUGAUGUGGAUUAAUUCGAUGCAACGCGAAAAACCUUACCUACCCUUGACAUGUCUGGAAUCCUGAAGAGAUUUAGGAGUGCUCGAAAGAGAACCGGAACACAGGUGCUGCAUGGCCGUCGUCAGCUCGUGUCGUGAGAUGUUGGGUUAAGUCCCGCAACGAGCGCAACCCUUGUCAUUAGUUGCUACGAAAGGGCACUCUAAUGAGACUGCCGGUGACGAACCGGAGGAAGGUGGGGAUGACGUCAGGUCCUCAUGGCCCUUAUGGGUAGGGCUUCACACGUCAUACAAUGGUCGGGACAGAGGGCAGCCAACCCGCGAGGGGGAGCCAAUCCCAGAAACCCGAUCGUAGUCCGGAUUGCAGUCUGCAACUCGACUGCAUGAAGUCGGAAUCGCUAGUAAUCGCGGAUCAGCAUGUCGCGGUGAAUACGUUCCCGGGUCU
This 1352-nucleotide ribosomal RNA is filed under the name uncultured bacterium. RNAcentral's name for it is "bacterial SSU rRNA". It matches the Rfam family "Bacterial small subunit ribosomal RNA", at positions 28 to 1381 of the family's 1533-position model. The record is from RNAcentral.